This 767-nucleotide ribosomal RNA is filed under the name uncultured Streptococcus sp. RNAcentral's name for it is "bacterial SSU rRNA". It matches the Rfam family "Bacterial small subunit ribosomal RNA", at positions 28 to 776 of the family's 1533-position model. The record is from RNAcentral. Lineage: Bacteria; Bacillati; Bacillota; Bacilli; Lactobacillales; Streptococcaceae.
GACGAACGCUGGCGGCGUGCCUAAUACAUGCAAGUAGAACGCUGAAGAGAGGAGCUUGCUCUUCUUGGAUGAGUUGCGAACGGGUGAGUAACGCGUAGGUAACCUGCCUUGUAGCGGGGGAUAACUAUUGGAAACGAUAGCUAAUACCGCAUAACAAUGGAUGACUCAUGUCAUUUAUUUGAAAGGGGCAAAUGCUCCACUACAAGAUGGACCUGCGUUGUAUUAGCUAGUAGGUGAGGUAACGGCUCACCUAGGCGACGAUACAUAGCCGACCUGAGAGGGUGAUCGGCCACACUGGGACUGAGACACGGCCCAGACUCCUACGGGAGGCAGCAGUAGGGAGUCUUCGGCAAUGGGGGCAACCCUGACCGAGCAACGCCGCGUGAGUGAAGAAGGUUUUCGGAUCGUAAAGCUCUGUUGUAAGUCAAGAACGAGUGUGAGAGUGGAAAGUUCACACUGUGACGGUAGCUUACCAGAAAGGGACGGCUAACUACGUGCCAGCAGCCGCGGUAAUACGUAGGUCCCGAGCGUUGUCCGGAUUUAUUGGGCGUAAAGCGAGCGCAGGCGGUUUGAUAAGUCUGAAGUUAAAGGCUGUGGCUCAACCAUAGUUCGCUUUGGAAACUGUCAAACUUGAGUGCAGAAGGGGAGAGUGGAAUUCCAUGUGUAGCGGUGAAAAUGCGUAGAUAUAUGGAGGAACACCGGUGGGCGAAAGCGGCUCUCUGGUCUGUAACUGACGCUGAGGCUCGAAAGCGUGGGGAGCGAACAGG